RNAcentral lists this ribosomal RNA (274 nucleotides) under uncultured bacterium. RNAcentral's name for it is "partial 16S ribosomal RNA". It matches the Rfam family "Bacterial small subunit ribosomal RNA", at positions 523 to 796 of the family's 1533-position model. The record is from RNAcentral.
AUACGGAGGGUGCAAGCGUUAAUCGGAAUUACUGGGCGUAAAGGGCGCGUAGGUGGCUCUGUAAGUCGGAUGUGAAAGCCCUGGGCUCAACCUGGGAAUGGCAUUCGAUACUGCAGAGCUAGAGUAUGGUAGAGGGAAGUGGAAUUUCCGGUGUAGCGGUGAAAUGCGUAGAUAUCGGAAGGAACACCAGUGGCGAAGGCGACUUCCUGGGCCAAUACUGACGCUGAGGUGCGAAAGCGUGGGGAGCAAACAGGAUUAGAUACCCCGGUAGUCC